UACAAACAUUUGGUUUAUAUACAGGUCAGGAAUUUGCUAUGGAUAGAAUGAGAAUUCUUGAUUUAUAUUUAUACAAUUCAACUAUAUUUUAAUUAAUAAAAUAUUGUUUUAUAUUUUAAGUAAAACUAAUAGAGAGAGACUGACUCCCUUCAAUUGUGCCAGUUGGCUUUCUUCUCCCCUUCAAUUAAUAGAACAAAAAAUAGAAAACUAAUCUAAGCAAAAAAAAAAAA
RNAcentral lists this unclassified non-coding RNA (230 nucleotides) under Hevea brasiliensis (rubber tree). The record is from RNAcentral. Lineage: Eukaryota; Viridiplantae; Streptophyta; Magnoliopsida; Malpighiales; Euphorbiaceae.